RNAcentral lists this long non-coding RNA (846 nucleotides) under Marmota monax (woodchuck). Lineage: Eukaryota; Metazoa; Chordata; Mammalia; Rodentia; Sciuridae. The record is from RNAcentral.
UCAGAUCAGGCUGGGCAGGCAGCAACCAAAGUUGGCAGAUUUAAAAGGGCCACUGAACAGGCUUUACUGAGAUAUCACUCCCAGGCGGAACUCAAUCAGACCCACAGAGGGGACAGGGGAAGGGUCUGAGGAGAAACCGAGUGGAAGCUGGACCGGACUGGACUUUUAUGGGGCUUACAGCAGGAAGGGAAGGGCUUGGGACAGGAAAAGGUGUCUCUAGGAUCCCUUGCCCCCUUGGAGUUGGUCAGGGGAGUUGGCUGAACUCCAGGAUUGGCCAGGGGGUCCUGUUGAUUGACAGGCGUUAGUCAGGAGAUCUGGCUGAUUGACAGGCAUUUCCACUGGCAUCUGAUUGAUGUUCAAAGCAGCGCGGGCUGCUUUGUUCUAAGUUGCCACUAAGUCGCCACCAAGUCGCUGCCACGGACCUAACAUAAGGUAUUGAAGGUUUUUCCUAAGGUCAAAUAUUAAUGUAAUGAUAUAAAAGAAAGUUUAAUCUACUUGUUAAAAUGACAAUGAUUUCUUAAAUUGUUAAUUUACCAAUAACAUUGUUUUUAUUAAGUUUUACUUUUUAGAACAAAUAAUCGUGAGGGAAUUUAGGAUUAUACAACUGUUAAACAACAACUGUUCCAAGGUUUAAAUUUUGUUUAAAAGCUAAACUUGGUUAAUAUAAAAACAUCAAUGGAAUUAUGGUGCUAUUUCUCUUCUUUGUAUAUUAAGUGUGUACAUAUCUUCCAGGUAUACAAGUCUUUAAGAUAGAGGGUAUAAAAGAACAUUAUAUCAAACUGGUGUUCUCCAAACUAAAGUUGUAUGGUAAUUUUAGAUUCAUAAGGAUAAAAAACUUGAAUUGGG